AUUGAACGCUGGCGGCAGGCCUAACACAUGCAAGUCGAACGGUAACAGGGAUCAGCUUGCUGAUUCGCUGACGAGUGGCGGACGGGUGAGUAAUGUCUGGGAAACUGCCUGAUGGAGGGGGAUAACUACUGGAAACGGUAGCUAAUACCGCAUAACGUCGCAAGACCAAAGAGGGGGACCUUCGGGCCUCUUGCCAUCGGAUGUGCCCAGAUGGGAUUAGCUAGUAGGUGGGGUAACGGCUCACCUAGGCGACGAUCCCUAGCUGGUCUGAGAGGAUGACCAGCCACACUGGAACUGAGACACGGUCCAGACUCCUACGGGAGGCAGCAGUGGGGAAUAUUGCACAAUGGGCGCAAGCCUGAUGCAGCCAUGCCGCGUGUAUGAAGAAGGCCUUCGGGUUGUAAAGUACUUUCAGCGGGGAGGAAGGGAGUAAAGUUAAUACCUUUGCUCAUUGACGUUGCCCGCAGAAGAAGCACCGGCUAACUCCGUG
Molecule: ribosomal RNA, 490 nt
Filed under: uncultured bacterium
Lineage: Bacteria
Description: partial 16S ribosomal RNA
Rfam family: Bacterial small subunit ribosomal RNA
Source: RNAcentral